RNAcentral lists this ribosomal RNA (385 nucleotides) under Prymnesiophyceae sp. Its description in RNAcentral is "partial small subunit ribosomal RNA". It matches the Rfam family "Eukaryotic small subunit ribosomal RNA", at positions 582 to 975 of the family's 1831-position model. The record is from RNAcentral. Lineage: Eukaryota; Haptophyta.
AUUCCAGCUCCAAUAGCGUAUAUUUAAGUUGUUGCAGUUAAAAAGCUCGUAGUUGGAUUUCGGUUAAGAGCGACCGGUCCGCCGUUUGGUGUGCACUGGUUGGUUUUAACUUCCUGUAGAGGACGUGCUCUGGGCUUAACGGUCUGGACUCGGAGUCUACGUGGUUACUUUGAAAAAAUUAGAGUGUUCAAAGCAGGCGUCGGCUUGAAUACAUUAGCAUGGAAUAAUGGAAUAGGACUUUGGUUCUAUUUCGUUGGUUCCGAACACCGAAGUAAUGAUUAACAGGGACAGUCAGGGGCACUCGUAUUCCGCCGAGAGAGGUGAAGUUCUCAGACCAGCGGGAGACGAACCACUGCGAAAGCAUUUGCCAGGGAUGUUUUCAUUA